This 253-nucleotide ribosomal RNA is filed under the name uncultured bacterium. Its description in RNAcentral is "partial 16S ribosomal RNA". It matches the Rfam family "Bacterial small subunit ribosomal RNA", at positions 524 to 776 of the family's 1533-position model. The record is from RNAcentral.
UACGUAGGGGGCAAGCGUUGUCCGGAAUCAUUGGGCGUAAAGCGCGCGUAGGCGGCCCGGUAAGUCCGUUGUGAAAGUCAAAGGCUCAACCUUUGAACGCCGAUGGAUACUGCCGGGCUAGAGUCCGGAAGAGGCGAGUGGAAUUCCUGGUGUAGCGGUGGAAUGCGCAGAUAUCAGGAGGAACACCGGUGGCGAAGGCGGGAUCCUGGGCCAGUACUGACGCUGAGGAGCGAAAGCGUGGGGAGCAAACAGG